RNAcentral lists this long non-coding RNA (635 nucleotides) under Equus caballus (horse). RNAcentral's name for it is "lncRNA (ENSECAG00000042937.2)". Lineage: Eukaryota; Metazoa; Chordata; Mammalia; Perissodactyla; Equidae. The record is from RNAcentral.
ACUGAAUGAGAUUAGAGACACACAGGUAUUGCAGGUACAGGAUCCCAGACUCGGAAUCUGGCUUCUGGACCGAAGAGAUUUGGGGCAUUGAACAAACCCCUUCAACUUUCUGAGCCUCACUUUCCUCAUCUCUAAAAGUCUGGGGGUAAUGCUUAGUUGGCAGGAUGAUUAUUAACCUCAGAAGAGAUCAGAUUACAAGUGUCUGGCACAGUGUUGUUUAGUUAGGAUGCAUGUGGCUGCCAGAAACAAAAUACUCAACUAAAAGUGACUUCAACGCAAAGGGUUGAUUUUUCUCGAAGAACAGUAACACAGAGGAGGGAUUCCCUGGGUUGGUGCAGGAGCGGAAUGGCAUCGGAGCUCCAGCUCAGUUUCUCUGUGAUUCUCCUGGCUGCAGUAGCUCCAGGCAUCCUGUCCUUCUUCGACAAUGUCCAAAGCAGAAAAAUGGACACAUAUCUUUGCAUGUCUCUCGUCAGGAAAAGUUCAUCCCAGGAGGCCCAGUAACGUUCCUCAGCCUGAAUUGUAUCACAUGACUCUGUCUAGGCUUCAGGCGAAACUGGAAAACUUGGAUACCAGCUGGAAGUUUGUGGGCUGUUUCUCUGCCAAACCCAAUCGAAUCAUUGUCCUUUGGAUUUUAU